RNAcentral lists this ribosomal RNA (492 nucleotides) under uncultured bacterium. Its description in RNAcentral is "partial 16S ribosomal RNA". It matches the Rfam family "Bacterial small subunit ribosomal RNA", at positions 29 to 507 of the family's 1533-position model. The record is from RNAcentral.
AGUGAACGCUGGCGGUAGGCCUAACACAUGCAAGUCGAACGGCAGCACAGUAAGAGCUUGCUCUUACGGGUGGCGAGUGGCGGACGGGUGAGGAAUAUAUCGGAAUCUACUUUUUCGUGGGGGAUAACGUAGGGAAACUUACGCCAAUAUCGCAUACGACCUACGGGUGAAAGCAGGGGAUCUUCGGACCUUGCGCGAUUGAAUGAGCCGAUGUCGGAUUUGUUAGUUGGCGGGGUAAAGGCCCACCAAGGCGACGAUCCGCAGCUGGACUGAGAGGAGGGUCAGCCACACUGGAACGGAGACACGGUCCAGACUCCUACGAGAGGCAGCAGUGGGGAAUAUUGGACAAUGGGCGCAAGCCUGAUCCAGCCAUACCGCGUGGGUGAAGAAGGCCUUCGGGUUGUAAAGCCCUUUUGUUGGGAAAGAAAAGCAGCAGGUUAAUACCCCGCUGUUCUGACGGUACCCAAAGAAUAAGCACCGGCUAACUUCGUG